Bos taurus (domestic cattle) is the source of this 72-nucleotide non-coding RNA. The record is from Rfam. NCBI's taxonomy places the organism in Eukaryota, Metazoa, Chordata, Mammalia, Artiodactyla, Bovidae.
UCCCUGGUGGUCCGGUGGUUAAGAAUCUAUCUUGCAAUGCAAGGGACACAGGUUCAAUUCCUGUUCAGGGAG